Molecule: long non-coding RNA, 4868 nt
Filed under: Sus scrofa (pig)
Lineage: Eukaryota; Metazoa; Chordata; Mammalia; Artiodactyla; Suidae
Description: lncRNA (ENSSSCG00000061056.1)
Source: RNAcentral
UCAGUGGAUUAAGCAUCCAGCCUUGCCGUGAGCUGUGGUGUAGGUCGCAGAGGCAGCUUGGAUCUGGCAUUGCUGUGGCUGUGGCACAGGCUGGCAGCUACAGCUCUGAUUCGACCCUUAGCCUGGGAACCUCCAUAUGCCAUGGGUGCAGCGCUCAAAAGCCAAAAAAAAAAAAAAAAAAAAAAAGUUGAAAACAAUGGGUUCACGUCUGAGUCUGGGUGAAGGUCCCAGCUCAUGGGCUCAAGUCACAAUCUGAGUUGUGCAGUUUCCCUAGGAGAGGGAGGACUGAAGGAUGCGUGGGGCCUACAGAUGGGUAUAGGGGUCUGGGUGUUCGCUUUCCUGCUGUGGGAUGGACUGGGCUGGGGACAGGGGUCCCGUUUCACCGGCUGCUUUCGGGGAUGGAGGUAGGGACUAGUGGGCGGAGGGUGGGAGCCAGAGGCGCCAUUUGCUGGUUUGCCUCUGGGGUCAGUGGCCUGCGUGGUGGGGUUACAGAGAUGCUCCUCCCUGGGGGAGACACACCCCCUCACGCACACCACGGGCCGUCUCCCUGCCAGACACGCAGGGACAUCCCCCCCCAGCACUCCACCCAUGCCCAGAACAGAACACCCAGCCAGAUUUCCCAGUCUGACCUUUGCCCAGCGUGGCCUAGAAUCACCCAGGCCAUCAGGAGGAACCAAGGGGGCCAGUGGAAGCCCAGGCUGCCGUUUGUCUCCCAUCCCUGCCUUGUUGGUGUGGGGGGGGUCUGGCUGGGUGUCUGCUUUCCUGCUGUGGGAUGGACUGGGCUGGGGACGGGGUUCCCAUGUCAUCUUCCUUGGCCCUUCCCCUCCUUCUUCCCAAGUGGCUGGGAUGUCUCACGGGCCCACGUCCCCCGCUCUCCAGCACAGGCUCCGUACCUGCUGAUUGCCAGUGGGCCUCUCCUGUCCUGGAUGUGCUGCAGGCUUCCCCCAGGACCUGGCCUGCACCCAGCUAGGGUUGCCAGGUACGUUUGCGUUGCGGCUAAACGGCGACUACAUUUUCACACACACACACACAGAAGUGCAUCCCUUCCAAGCUGCGCGCUUACAGUGAAAGAUCAUGUGUUGUUUAUCUGAAACUGACAUUGCACUGGGUGUCGUGUAUUUGGUUUACCAGGUCUAAUGACCCUAACCCGCACCCCACCUACCCCAGGGAGACAGGCCAAGGGAGAAGGGGGGACCAAAGAAGGGCCCAGAGGCUGAGACCACCACCCCUUCCCCCUCUGGCCAUCCCCCCUCUCCCUCCAGCUGCCCACACCUUCCAGGAACUGCUAGCGGGCUGGUCAAUGGGUUUCCCUCCAGAAUAGAUGAUUCUGGUUUAUCAGGCUCCCGGUGGGGAGGGCUGGCUUCCGAAGGGCGUUGGAACAGGCCCUUCUGCCCAUGGAUUUCCCCCCACUGUUUUCCAGGGACUUGGGAGAGGCUGGUGCCAAGGAAAUCGCUUUAUCUUCCUCUCCUGGUCUGGGCCCGAGCCCCCCUCCCUGAGGCUGGAUGUGCCAGGGCUCCCUUCCUGCAGCCGGGCUCCCACCCAUCAUCCCAGCCACCUCGUGCGGAAGGGAGCCCUCAGGCAGCGCCUGGCUGCCGUCUCGGGGGUGCGGUCUGAAGGGGCGCGAUGCCAGGGUUUUAUUUACAAACUGAGAGACUCAAGAGGAGCGGGACCGUCAGGGCGGGAACGCCCGUCCAGCUCACAGCCUGGGGUGCAGGCAGAGAAGGAUCUGGAGGCCGGUAGCUGGCCACAUCCCCUGGGUUCACAUUAGACACCUUUCCCCUUGUAACCUCCCAGAUCUGUUUACCUUCGAGAACACUAUUCCCAGGCCUCAUCUGUUACGCAAGGCCCUGGUUUAAGUACUUUACACCUCGUCGCGUUUAAUUCGGCUGGCGACCUUUAGAACUGUCAACUUCCACUGGAACAGCGGCUCCCGGACUGUGGGGAUUUUCACAUUUGGUUUCUUGCUUGCGGUGGACACAAGCUCAGAGUCCCCUGCAAGGAUCGGCAGCAGCGGGUCCCAGCUCUGGGUGCUGCCAGAGUACAGACACCUUUAGCUGCUGGCCUCUCCAGGGAGAGGAAGCCCCUUUGCUCAAGGUCACACUCCUUUUCUCUUUUCUUAUUUUUUAGGGUCGCAUGUGUGGCAUCUGGAAGUGCCCAGGCUAGGGGUCAAAUUGGAGCUGCAGCUGCCAGCUUAUGCCACCGCGAAAGCAACUUGGGAACCAAGCCGCGUCUGUGACCCACACCACAGCUCACAGCAAUGCCGGAUCCUUAACCCACUGAGGGAGGCCAGGGAUCGAACCUGCAUCCUCAAGGUUUGUUACUGCUGAACCACAAUGGGAACUCCAAAGUCACACUCCUUUCUGCAGCCCCCCAGCCAAAGCCGGAUCAACGGGGCAGGGAAGGGGGACUAAAGUAUGGGCCCCAUUUAGGGUAACCCCAAACGGCCGCUGCAGCUUCAGAGCUCACGGUGGCGCCCAUGGAAGUUACCACCGCACUCAUGUGGCUGCUCCACUUCUCAUCCUUCUCAAUCCUGCUUCCAGCAGCCCCCCUUCCACAGGUGCUGGACCUGGAGGCAACUCCUUAGUAAACAUGCUGCCCACUGAACGCCAUCGGCCCCCCAGGAAGCCACGCCUGGGGACUCAACUGUCCGGACAGCGCAGAGCACGAAGAAGACUCACAACCAAUGCCUGCUAAGAAGAACUCUCUGGGGCAGGCACUGCCACGCCCCGCGCUGCACAAAUAACAGGCUAAUAAGACCAGCUUGCGUUUACUCAGGUGAAACUAUUUGACAUGCUCUCUCUUGGUCCUUCUGAGAUGGGCAGGUUUGUUUGUUUGUUUUUUGGUUUCUUGUCCUUUUAAGGUUGCACCCGAGGCAUAUGGAGGUUCCCAGGCUAGGGGUUGAAUCAGAGCUGUAGCUGCCAUCCUACACCACAGCCACAGCCACGCCAGAUCCGAGCCGCGUCUGCAACCUACACCACAGCCCAUGGCAACAUCAGAUCCUUAACCCACUGAGCAAAGCCAGGGAUUGAACUCGCAACCUCAUGGUUCCUAGUUGGGUUCGUUUCCACUGCGCCAUGACGGGAACUCCUGAUGGCUAGCAAGGAGAGUAGGAUUUGGACCCAGAGAAUCUGAUGCUCAAACUACCCUCUUAGCAGCACUUGUGGAAGGAAACUGAGGCUUAGCCAGGGAAAGGAGCUCGCCCCUUGCCAGCCAUUUUGUUUUGUUUUGUCUUUCUAGGGCCACAUCCGCAGCAUCAGGAGGUUCCCAGGCUAGGGGUUGAAUCAGAGCUACAGCUGCCAGCCUACGCCACAGCCACAGCAACGUGGGAUCUGAGCCGCAUCUGUGAUCUACACUACAGCUCACCGCAACACUGGAUCCCCAACCCACUGAGCGAGGCCAGGGAUCAAACCUGCAUGUUCAUGGAUACUAGUCAGUUUCAAAACCCGCCAAGCCAUGGCGGGAAGUCCGUAGGGAGUCCUCUUUUAGAGGGAAGCUUGGAUGUAGAAAGCACCGAGCCAAUCGGACAGGUUGGGGACACGGGCCGUUCUAAGACUUGGAAUGUGCUCCCUGGCCCUCCCCUGCCUGCCUGUGGCUUGUCUCAUGAGGUCUACACAGCAGCCAAAACCCGGCUUCGAAGUGACUCCUCUGAGAAGCCUUCCCCAGCCUCUGCUCCCCACACCCUGACUUCACCCCCACCAAGAUCCUGAAAGGGGACUGGAGGAUCCCCUCUGAGCCAGAGGAUGGAAGUGCCAGGGCAGGGCUGGCCGCACUGAGCAGGGCACGCAGCAGAAUGAAUAAAGGGCAGAAUGAUAGCACAGACUUAGCAGGCACUAUUCCAGGGCUGGGACUAAAUAUUUACCUUGCCCAUUGGGCAAUCCUGAGAGAUAAGCCUGGUUUUUCCGAGCUCUAUUUAUGCAGACUUUCCUUCAGGGACUGACACAAUCAAUCUGGUUUUGUUAGAGUUUGAACAGCUGUUUCCACAUGUGAGGCCUGGGUGUACAAGGUGCUUGAUCCUCUGCUUCCACUGGUCCCCCGAGCACCACGUGUCCCCUCCAGGGAGUCUGUUUUCCAGCCCUCGGGGCCCUAAGUCCCUUUGCCCCUCCGUCCUGCGGGCCUGCCCAGGCUCCAAGGGGCUGCAGGUCCAGGCAGGGUUUCAGGCUAGUUUCAGCUGUGGAUUCACAGCCAUCACAGGUUGAGUGACAUCUGGGCGGCUUGGAGGGUGGUAGGACAGUCCCGCUGGGGUUGGCCGCCUGAGUGGCCCCCUGGGGGUGCCUCUCUUAAGGGAGAGGAGUUGGGCGUGACACGCUGGGCCCAAGUGAGAUUCCAGAGUUGCAGAGGGCGGAGGGCUGCAGAGCUUUGUGUGGCUUCUCUCUCGCUCAGCCUCUGGGAUUCAUGUCGGGGUCAUAAGGGGAGUGGGAGCAACCUCUGAAAAACCAGAAGAGCAAUUGCACCCAAACCCUGGCAUGUGGGGAAAGCGGCUAGGCUUUGGGGACGCUCCCUCGGAGCAGAAGUGACCAGAGUGGGUCCCUCCCCCCAGUGCCCAGUCUGUGGGGGAGGCAGGGGGUGGAGUUGGAUGAAGGGGCCUAAAAGCUCAGGUGGACACCACGUGGCAGCUGAAAGACCCGUUUAAGACACACAGAGGAGUUCCCAUCAUGGCGCAGCAGAAACAAAUCUGACUAGUGCCCAUGAGGAUGCAGGUUCGAUCCCUGGCUUAGCUCAGUGGGUUGGGGAUCCGGCGUGACCGGGAGCCUUGGUGUAAGUUACAGACCUGGCUCAGAUUUGAUGUUGCUGUGGCUGUGGUGUAGGCCUGUCGCUAUAGCUCUAAUUCAACCCCUAGACUGGGAACUUCAUAUGCCUCAGAUGUGGCC